GCAGGAGAGGAGAGUGGAAUUCCUAGUGUAGCGGUGAAAUGCGUAGAUAUUAGGAGGAACACCAGUUGCGAAGGCGGCUCUCUGGACUGUAACUGACGCUGAGGCACGAAAGCGGGGGGAGCAAACAGGAUUAGAUACCCUGGUAGUCCACGCUGUAAACGAUGAGUACUAGGGGUCGGGGGUUACCCCCUUCGGUGCCGCAGCUAACGCAUUAAGUACUCCGCCUGGGAAGUACGCUCGCAAGAGUGAAACUCAAAGGAAUUGACGGGGAC
This 272-nucleotide ribosomal RNA is filed under the name Clostridioides difficile. Its description in RNAcentral is "partial 16S ribosomal RNA". It matches the Rfam family "Bacterial small subunit ribosomal RNA", at positions 648 to 920 of the family's 1533-position model. Lineage: Bacteria; Bacillati; Bacillota; Clostridia; Peptostreptococcales; Peptostreptococcaceae. The record is from RNAcentral.